AAUUGACAUGUUUUGAAAGUGUGAGGAUAGACACGAAUGGAAUCAAAGUGGUUAAAGACAUCCAAUUGCCAUUGCUACUUGAAUGCUGAAAUUUUAGUCGAUUGGGUCAAAAAUGAUCAAAUUGAUGCCAAAUUGGGAAUUAAUUGCUCCCAAAUUAAUUUGAUAGCUUGGGAAGCUUCUUUGGAUGAUUUUGCAUGUGUUCGAAUGAAAU
RNAcentral lists this long non-coding RNA (211 nucleotides) under Ananas comosus (pineapple). RNAcentral's name for it is "long non-coding RNA (ACOM_LNC042987)". Lineage: Eukaryota; Viridiplantae; Streptophyta; Magnoliopsida; Poales; Bromeliaceae. The record is from RNAcentral.